RNAcentral lists this long non-coding RNA (621 nucleotides) under Salmo salar (Atlantic salmon). RNAcentral's name for it is "lncRNA (ENSSSAG00000082091.1)". The record is from RNAcentral. Lineage: Eukaryota; Metazoa; Chordata; Actinopteri; Salmoniformes; Salmonidae.
GGUCAGGUCGCCUAGCGGCAGGUCAGGUCCAGGUCAGGUCGCCUAGCGGCAGGUCAGGUCCAGGUCAGGUCACCUAGCGGCAGGUCAGGUCCAGGUCGCCUAGCGGCAGGUCAGGUCCAGGUCAGGUCGCCUAGCGGCAGGUCAGGUCCAGGUCCAGGUCGCCUAGCGGCAGGUCAGGUCCAGGUCAGGUCCAGGUCAGGUCAGGUCCAGGUCAGGUCGCCUAGCGGCAGGUCAGGUCCAGGUUAGGUCGCCUAGCGGCAGGUCAGGUCCAGGUCGCCUGGCUGCAGGUCAGGUCCAGGUCGCCUGGCGGCAGGUCAGGUCCAGGUCGCCUGGCGGCAGGUCAGGUCCAGGUCAGGUCGCCUAGCGGCAGGUCAGGUCCAGGUCGCCUAGCGGCAGGUCAGGUCCAGGUCAGGUCAGGUCCAGGUCAGGUCGCCUAGCGGCAGGUCAGGUCCAGGUCAGGUCGCCUAGCGGCAGGUCAGGUCCAGGUCAGGUCAGGUCCAGGUCAGGUCGCCUAGCGGCAGGUCAGGUCCAGGUCGCCUGGCGGCAGUUCAGGUCCAGGUCGCCUGGCGGCAGGUCAGGUCCAGGUCAGGUCGCCUGGCGGCAGGUCAGGUCCAGGUCAGG